RNAcentral lists this unclassified non-coding RNA (377 nucleotides) under Hevea brasiliensis (rubber tree). Lineage: Eukaryota; Viridiplantae; Streptophyta; Magnoliopsida; Malpighiales; Euphorbiaceae. The record is from RNAcentral.
GAAAAAAAAAAAAAAAGGCUUCCUAUCAAUGGGCUUCUCUUAACCUGUUAAUUUUAACUCCAAAAAUAAUCUCAACAUAUUUAGGUAAUGGAUCCAAAUUUUUCUAGGCUCAUUGGGGAAAACUUGAUUAAUAUGGUAUAUAGUUUGGUGGAUUAACUUUGCAAGUAGGUAGUUACGUAAGAGUAUAAUCAAGGAGGUCUGUCCCAAGGGACUACUAGAAUGGGAACAGGAGCAAUUUAUGAGACACGGGAGGUUGGCCUUAUUGGGCACCUUGGCCUUUGGAUAAAUAAAUAAAAAUGAGAAUAAGAAUAAGAAGAAAUGAUGAGCUGCAAUGGAACCUCAUGAUCCCAUGUCAAAAGAAGAUAAUUAUCUUAUAA